GCCAGGUGUGGUGGCAUAUGCCUGUAAUCCCAGCAGCUUUGGAGGCUGAGGCAGGUGGAUUGCAAGUUUGAGACCAGCCUCAGCAACUUAGCGAGGCCUUGUCUCAA
RNAcentral lists this small RNA (107 nucleotides) under Marmota monax (woodchuck). Lineage: Eukaryota; Metazoa; Chordata; Mammalia; Rodentia; Sciuridae. The record is from RNAcentral.